Molecule: long non-coding RNA, 1310 nt
Organism: Pectinophora gossypiella (pink bollworm)
Lineage: Eukaryota; Metazoa; Arthropoda; Insecta; Lepidoptera; Gelechiidae
Exons: 3
Source: RefSeq, a predicted model, not a curated record
CCACUCUACAGUCGUUGGUAAUUAUAGCUACCGAUUCCAAAUUCACCUCAGGAGUCGAUGGUAGCUAUACUUACCAAUAGUCGGGGUUCCGUUAGGGUGACCAAUUUUAUGGAUUAACUAGUUUUACAAGCUAGUAUAGAUUAUAAAAUUAUACUAGUAUUGUGUACUAUAAAAAUCCUUACUAGGUGGUAUUUGCAUCUCUUCCCUAUGAGUUGGUAACAUUAAAAAAACAACUGUCGAAGUCAGACGAGUGUUGGUCGAGUCUACUGUCAACUACUGUGUUUGCGAUUGAGUGUUUUAGACAAGAAAUAUGCCCAGAUGCCCAGGAUAUUGAUUACAGGGUACACCAAAUUUGGUCAACUUUCAUCAUGAGAUGCUAUAGUUCAGCUAUAGAGAGGACACAGAGAGUAAUUACAAAAAAAAACGAAUUACUAAACUGCCAGUAGAUGUCCGACAGGAGCUUACGGACAGAAAGCGGCAGGCGCAAUUAGAUUUAGCAAUAAGGCCGCCUUUUGUCUCUAGUGUCUCGAUUUAUUUGUUUGGUACGUCAUUUUGUGCAAUCAAGUAUAUUGUAUUGCAAGACUGUAAUUUUAAAUUCUAAUAAAAAAUAUAUAUUUUUAAGGUCCGAAUGUUAAGUGCUUGGUAAAAAAUGUAAAUAAAACAAGCAUUCAAUUAUAAAUUGGUUUUAGUUCAUAUUAAUAAACCUUAAUUUUUCUACUGGUUUUCUUUAAUUCCUGAAAUCACACACACAAAAUGUCUAUGUUAAUCUUACCCGUUAUUGGUAACCAUAGUUACCAUCGACUUAAAAAGGCAGAAACGCUCAGUGCGAACAGAAACUUAGCGAGGGCGGCCAUCUUGGUAAGAAUACGGUGUUACAAAUAAGUCGUCACCAGGUGUUAUAUUUAUAUUUCUUGUGUUUAAACUAAGUAACAUUAAAAUAUAAUUUGAAUACUAGUAAAAAGUGUAAGAAAUGCGCUUUCAAAUAAAAAUUAUUACAGUCCCUAGAACAUGAUACUUUACAUGCUAUUAACAGGCAUGGCUGGGAUAACUGAAAAAAUGAGCGGAUUCUGUCAAUUCUAAUUGGAUUUGAGAUAGAUUUUAUAAUGUGAUCUUUUUUAUUUUUAUCUAAUUAGAAUCAUUGCACAUCUGGCUUGCUGUUUCUGAAUUUUCUUUAUUAUAGCCACAGUAGUUUUUGAGUUACAAGCCUAUUUAUAACACGCCACGAUAUCGCCCAUCGAACGCCGCGCAAGUUCGAAAUGCCUGGACUGUUGAGGCUAGAUUUGCUAGUGCGCCUGGACUGUCAAGUGGUU